Molecule: ribosomal RNA, 450 nt
Filed under: uncultured bacterium
Lineage: Bacteria
Description: bacterial SSU rRNA
Rfam family: Bacterial small subunit ribosomal RNA
Source: RNAcentral
GGCCUAACACAUGCAAGUCGAACGGCAGCAUGAGUAUGGGUAACCAUACUUGAUGGCGAGUGGCGGACGGGUGAGUAAUAUGUAGGAAUCUACCUAGAGGAGGGGGAUAACUUGGGGAAACCCAAGCUAAUACCACAUAAGCCCUACGGGGGAAAGCAGGGGACUGUUAAAGGCCUUGCGCCUUAUGAUGAGCCUACAUCGGAUUAGCUAGUUGGUGGGGUAAAGGCCUACCAAGGCGACGAUCCGUAGCUGGUCUGAGAGGAUGAUCAGCCACACUGGGACUGAGACACGGCCCAGACUCCUACGGGGGGCAGCAGUGGGGAAUAUUGGACAAUGGGGGCAACCCUGAUCCAGCAAUGCCGCGUGUGUGAAGAAGGCCUUAGGGUUGUAAAGCACUUUCAGUGGGGAGGAAGGGGCAUGAGUUAAUACCUUAUGUCAUUGACGUUACCC